Molecule: unclassified non-coding RNA, 414 nt
Filed under: Hevea brasiliensis (rubber tree)
Lineage: Eukaryota; Viridiplantae; Streptophyta; Magnoliopsida; Malpighiales; Euphorbiaceae
Source: RNAcentral
GGAAGAUCUCUCUUCCGAACAGAACAAGUUUCAAUACUACUAUCGGAAUCUCAGUCGUCACUCAGUACAACAACAGGCAUGGAUUCAGAAAAGGAGGGCAGAGAACAUGGCAAGGAAAGCUGCCGGAGAGGAGCCGCUUCCUGAGGAGGAUCCAUCAAAUCCCAUCUUUAAGCCCCUGCCGGAGCCAUCACGCCUUGAUAGCUAUCUCAUCACAAAUCAAGUUGCCAAUUACUGCAACCAAAUUAAUGGUGUUGCUGGGCAAAAUUUCAGCAGAUUAUACUUGAUGAAGGCCUUGCACGAGACUUGAUCUGUGUAUUGCUUCUUAUUAACGCUCUAUCUUUUCAGAGGUUUGAAAAUGUAUACUGGUAUUCAGAUUUAGUACCUGAGGAUUUGGAAUUUUGGGUCAUAUAUUUG